This 305-nucleotide ribosomal RNA is filed under the name uncultured bacterium. Its description in RNAcentral is "bacterial SSU rRNA". It matches the Rfam family "Bacterial small subunit ribosomal RNA", at positions 341 to 643 of the family's 1533-position model. The record is from RNAcentral.
CUGGGGGGCAGCAGUGAGGAAUAUUGGUCAAUGGGAGAGAUCCUGAAUCAGCCAAGUCGCGUGAGGGAUGACGGCCCUACGGGUUGUAAACCUCUUUUGUCGGGGAGCAAGACCCGCCACGAGUGGCGGAGCGAGAGUACCCGAAGAAAAAGCAUCGGCUAACUCCGUGCCAGCAGCCGCGGUAAUACGGAGGAUGCGAGCGUUAUCCGGAUUUAUUGGGUUUAAAGGGGGCGCAGGCGGACCAUCAAGUCAGCGGUAAAAUCGUGGGGCCCAACCCCAUCCCGCCGUUGAAACUGGCGGGUCUG